Molecule: transfer RNA, 76 nt
Filed under: Oscillospiraceae bacterium
Lineage: Bacteria; Bacillati; Bacillota; Clostridia; Eubacteriales; Oscillospiraceae
Also listed under: 1 other name
Description: tRNA-Ala
Rfam family: tRNA
About the family: Transfer RNA (tRNA) molecules are approximately 80 nucleotides in length. Their secondary structure includes four short double-helical elements and three loops (D, anti-codon, and T loops).
Source: RNAcentral
GGGGGUGUAGCUCAUUUGGGAGAGCGCUUGAAUGGCAUUCAAGAGGUAGUGGGUUCGAUCCCCAUCAUCUCCACCA